CCUACGGGGGGCAGCAGUGAGGAAUAUUGGUCAAUGGACGAGAGUCUGAACCAGCCAAGUAGCGUGAAGGAUGACUACCCUAUGGGUUGUAAACUUCUUUUAUAUGGGAAUAAAAUGUUCCACGUGUGGGAUUUUGUAUGUACCAUAUGAAUAAGGAUCGGCUAACUCCGUGCCAGCAGCCGCGGUAAUACGGAGGAUCCGAGCGUUAUCCGGAUUUAUUGGGUUUAAAGGGAGCGUAGGUGGAUUGUUAAGUCAGUUGUGAAAGUUUGCGGCUCAACCGUAAAAUUGCAGUUGAAACUGGCAGUCUUGAGUACAGUAGAGGUGGGCGGAAUUCGUGGUGUAGCGGUGAAAUGCUUAGAUAUCACGAAGAACUCCGAUUGCGAAGGCAGUUCACUGGACUGCAACUGACACUGAGGCUCGAAAGUGUGGGUAUCAAACAGGAUUAGAUACCCCUGUAGUC
This 460-nucleotide ribosomal RNA is filed under the name uncultured bacterium. RNAcentral describes it as "partial 16S ribosomal RNA". It matches the Rfam family "Bacterial small subunit ribosomal RNA", at positions 338 to 795 of the family's 1533-position model. The record is from RNAcentral.